ACUCAAAUUCAAAAGUGCUGAAUGGAACCUUGUUUGAUGAAUCAUCUCCCAUCCACAAUUUUAUGCAUCAGCUAAGAUAUAGUGUUUGAUUAUGUUGUCCCCUGUAACUGAGCAAGGAAAGAGGGAAGUUAACUGAAGAGUAAAUAGUCUGGCUCUGAAAGGGGUCUCAGAAGGGAGGGUAACAGAGGGAGGAGCUAUAUAAUGAGGAUGGCAACUAAGAGCAAAAGGGCAGUGUCAUGAAUACCACUGAGGACUAACAACCUGGUGCUGGUCUUUUUGUAUUCAUCCUUAUUGAUCCCAGCCUGUCCAGUGCAAAUGCACCACUUAUCAGAAUGCAGAGAGGGUGUAAAAAUGGAAAGAAGAAGCAUCCACUGGAUGGGGACCGCUGGGGACAGUGAUGUAACAGGUAAAACCACCAAUCAGGGUCAUGGAAGUCAAUUCUAGCUUCCUCACCCAGGCUAUGCUUCCUAGACGACGCCCAUCUGAGACCGGACUCCACCAUGAGCUUCAGGCUUCUCUGCAGUGUGACCCUCUGUCUCCUGGGUGUAGUCCCCAUGAACACUACAAUUAUCCAGACACCAAGAUAUCUGGUUAUGGGAACAGCAAACAAGAAGUCUUUAAAAUGUGAACAACAUCUGGAACAUAAUGCCAUGUACUGGUAUAAACAGAAUGCUAAGAAGCCUCCAGAGCUCAUGUUUGCUUACAACUAUCAGCAACUGGUCCAAAAUGAGACAGUGCCUAGCCGCUUCUCACCUUGGUGCUCAGAAAAAUCUCACAUCUACCUUAACUUGACUGCCUUGCACCCAGAAGAUUCAGCAGUGUACCUCUGUGCCAGCAGCCAAGACACAGCCCUGCAGAGCAACUGCCUUCCUGUGCACAAACCUGUGGGUCCCCGGGGGAGCUUUGGGGGCAAAUGAGGGCUCUGAUGCAGA
Molecule: non-coding RNA, 932 nt
Organism: Cavia porcellus (domestic guinea pig)
Lineage: Eukaryota; Metazoa; Chordata; Mammalia; Rodentia; Caviidae
Source: the annotation of a RefSeq genome assembly